RNAcentral lists this long non-coding RNA (316 nucleotides) under Brassica napus (rape). Its description in RNAcentral is "long non-coding RNA (BNAP_LNC021981)". Lineage: Eukaryota; Viridiplantae; Streptophyta; Magnoliopsida; Brassicales; Brassicaceae. The record is from RNAcentral.
UCGGAUUCCGAAUUCACCCAAUUACCGUCCUCAUUAUACAAACCAAUAAUCCUAUUUUGAAUUCUUCUUUGUUUAAUGAGGGCAUGAUAAAAUUUUGUGUUCCGAUCACCACAAGUAUGCCAAGUCAUCCUACUCUUUGUUCCCAAUAUUGUUCCUCAUCCUGAUAAGCUUCCUGUAGUUUCCUCGAUAAAAUGUUAAGAUAUUAUUACCAAUUUUCAAGUUUUUGACAGAAAUACAAAGGCGACAAGAAACGGAGGAACGAAAAUCAAAUACCUAAACACCAACUCGAGACAGACUAAUACAGGGAUAGACACAA